RNAcentral lists this ribosomal RNA (330 nucleotides) under Triticum aestivum (bread wheat). RNAcentral describes it as "partial small subunit ribosomal RNA". Lineage: Eukaryota; Viridiplantae; Streptophyta; Magnoliopsida; Poales; Poaceae. The record is from RNAcentral.
AUGGCUGGCGGGGACGAGCAUGAGCAUGACGCGCCGGGUCGGCUGGAGAGCACCCUGACGGACAAGUCGGCGCCGCUGGCGGAGCCCGCGUGGGCGGCGGGAGCGGUCGAGCUCCGGCUGCUGUCGCGGCUGGCGGCGCCCGCGGUAGUGGUGUACAUGAUCAACUACGUCAUGUCCAUGUCCACGCAGAUCUUCUCCGGCCACCUCGGGAACCUGGAGCUCGCCGCCGCCUCGCUCGGCAACACCGGCGUCCAGACCUUCGCCUAUGGCCUCAUGGUACGUGCGGACUCUCUAGCUCCUCCCGUCUGUGUUUCUCUGCCCAUUUACUGA